GACGAACGCUGGCGGCGUGCUUAACACAUGCAAGUCAAGGGGGAGUCGCAAGACUCAACCGGCGAACGGGUGCGUAACACGUGAGCGACCUACCUAAUUGUGGGGGAUAGCCGGCCCAACGGCCGGGUAAUACCGCAUACGAUCGGAGAGGGGCAUCCCUUUCUGAGGAAAGCCUUCGGGCGCAAUUUGAGGGGCUCGCGGCCUAUCAGCUAGUUGGCGGGGUAACGGCCCACCAAGGCGACGACGGGUAGCUGGUCUGAGAGGAUGGCCAGCCACAUUGGGACUGAGAUACGGCCCAGACUCCUACGGGAGGCAGCAGUGGGGAAUCUUGCACAAUGGGCGCAAGCCUGAUGCAGCAACGCCGCGUGCGGGAAGAAGGCCCUAGGGUUGUAAACCGCUUUCAGCUCCGACGAAGCGAGAGUGACGGUAGGAGCAGAAGAAGCACCGGCCAACUACGUGCCA
Molecule: ribosomal RNA, 462 nt
Filed under: uncultured bacterium
Lineage: Bacteria
Description: bacterial SSU rRNA
Rfam family: Bacterial small subunit ribosomal RNA
Source: RNAcentral